UAUACCGGGGCAUUACUUUAAUGUAAGCAUCCACUGUAGAUAGUAUAUUUAAUGAGUUCUAUAUUGUUUUCUUUUGUCGAGUCGCGCUGCGCCGCGCCACUCGUGUCCGAGGAAGACGCUGAAUCAGCGGGCAGCGUGGCAGCGUUUGCUCGGGGAUGAACCCGCGAGACCGGAAGAGUUCCGGAGAACAUCCGCGCUGUGUGUUGAUGCAAUUUACGAGAGAUUAAGACCAGCAAGUAAGGCAACUGCAAUGAAGCAUCAAGAAAGACGAGCAUGCCAACCACUCUGAGACUGAUAGUUCAUGAGAAGACAUUUCUGUCACUAAAAAAAGUGGAUGGUGAGCAAAGGUGGUGGCCACGUUUUGGAGCAGCACCUGGGUUUUGCAGAUGGCUGUGUAUUCUUUGGCUGCAUGUCUUUUUCUCCAUUGUUUCUGUUGCCUAUAGAUUCUUUGUGAGGAUACAACAUAAUGCACUGCAAAACGUCCUAAGACAGGGGAAAUGGUGAAGAUGCAGUUUUUUCAACUUUUCAACAAGACUGUAUUGUAAAGUGUUAUACAUGCACUGUUGUAAAUAAAGUAUUUGAUAUUUUGUGAUUAUUGUAUCUGUUUUAAUUGAAUGUCAGUAGUACCUAUGUAGAGUAAAAAUGAAAUUAAUUAAAAUGAAUUAUAUAUAAAGUUAUAAAAUCUACUGAAAUCUAUAUUAAAAUGAAUGAAUUACAGUAGUAUACUGUUGAUUUUGACCUUUUUAAUAGUAUUUGGCUGUAAAAUAGCUACAGUUUGCAACUGUAAAUGAAAUACGGUUUGCUACUGUAAAUUCUAAUUACAGUAACUUACUGGCAACA
Long non-coding RNA from Labeo rohita (rohu), 840 nucleotides. RefSeq lists it as uncharacterized. The record is from RefSeq and is a predicted model, not a curated record. The transcript has 3 exons. NCBI's taxonomy places the organism in Eukaryota, Metazoa, Chordata, Actinopteri, Cypriniformes, Cyprinidae.